This is a long non-coding RNA of Zonotrichia leucophrys gambelii, 745 nucleotides long. RefSeq lists it as uncharacterized. The transcript has 3 exons. The record is from RefSeq and is a predicted model, not a curated record. NCBI's taxonomy places the organism in Eukaryota, Metazoa, Chordata, Aves, Passeriformes, Passerellidae.
GGGAAGUAGAGCUGCAUACAAGAAACAUUAAGGAGGUACAAAACUCUAGCAAUAUGGAACUCUUGCGCUAUAAUGGCAACAAAUGGUGACCCUGAUGUGAUUUGGGAUAAAGGACUCAAAUGCUAAACUAUAUGAGCAGAGCUGGAGUCACUUGGCCACUGCAAGAAGAAGAGAGUCAGUGCCUAGAGGAGAUGCCCACAAGAAACAUCAUGGAGGGCAGCAGGAAACCCAUCCCUGUGCUGCUGCAAUGAUUUAUAAUCUGAAAUGCAUGCUCUGUUUGACCAGCAGUCCAUCUGGGCCAGCUUUACAUCUCCAGCUGUAAAUGUAGACUUUAAUCCAUUGUAAAAAAAUUUGAGCUGGAGAAGACAACAGUCUGAUGACAUACUGAGGGAUAUAUUUGUGAAAUCCAUAGUUUAUCUAGAAGCUGGAGAACAUCUUUUAGAAAGGGACAAUUAUUAAGUUAGAGAGACAAAUCCUGAGGUGAGUUUCUUCUAAGUUUAACUGUUAUCCUGAUUAAAGAUGCAUACAUUAUUUCUUGUCUGAAUGUAUUUAACUUCAGCUAGAUCUGGCUGUCAGGUACUGAUAUCACUUCUCUUCUAAAAUAGAAAGUCUUAUUGUAUCAGGAAUAUUUUUUUCUCUCUGGAUAAUUCUAGGCUGUGAUCAUAUUAACCUCCCCUUUGCUAAACUGCUGUGUGAGCUCCUGUAAACUCUCACUGAAGGGAGAUGAGACUCCUCAAGCACUGGU